Molecule: long non-coding RNA, 294 nt
Organism: Phalaenopsis equestris
Lineage: Eukaryota; Viridiplantae; Streptophyta; Magnoliopsida; Asparagales; Orchidaceae
Exons: 3
Source: RefSeq, a predicted model, not a curated record
UAUAACUAGGGUGAAUAGAAAUAAAAUUUUGAGAAAGUUGAAAAUAAUCCUAUUAAUUUGUCUUUUUUGCCACAGGUUCGUAGCCAAGUGGAGUUGAUCCAAGCUGCUUUGAAAAGUUAAUUAUAGUGGAUCAAAGGGCAAAGGUUGCAUGUUUUUGCACGCCCAAACACCUAAUAACAGAGGAUCAUGUGAGCGAAAGUUCACAUGCAUGAUGGUGUGACUUCUAUGAUGGAUUGUCUGAACUUAAGAUUGUCCGCAGGGUCCGUUUGGGGCAGCUUAUUUGGUGCGGUGACG